UGCUGUGAACUCGAAGAGUAGGGCGGGACACGUGGUAUCCUGUCUGAAUAUGGGGGGACCAUCCUCCAAGGCUAAAUACUCCUGACUGACCGAUAGUGAACCAGUACCGUGAGGGAAAGGCGAAAAGAACCCCGGCGAGGGGAGUGAAAAAGAACCUGAAACCGUGUACGUACAAGCAGUGGGAGCCUCUUUAUGGGGUGACUGCGUACCUUUUGUAUAAUGGGUCAGCGACUUAUAUUCUGUAGCAAGGUUAACCGUAUAGGGGAGCCGAAGGGAAACCGAGUCUUAACUGGGCGUUAAGUUGCAGGGUAUAGACCCGAAACCCGGUGAUCUAGCCAUGGGCAGGUUGAAGGUUGGGUAACACUAACUGGAGGACCGAACCGACUAAUGUUGAAAAAUUAGCGGAUGACCUGUGGCUGGGGGUGAAAGGCCAAUCAAACCGGGAGAUAGCUGGUUCUCCCCGAAAGCUAUUUAGGUAGCGCCUCGUGAACUCAUCUUCGGGGGUAGAGCACUGUUUCGGCUAGGGGGCCAUCCCGGCUUACCAACCCGAUGCAAACUACGAAUACCGAAGAAUGUUAUCACGGGAGACACACGGCGGGUGCUAACGUCCGUCGUGAAGAGGGAAACAACCCAGACCGCCAGCUAAGGUCCCAAAGUCAUGGUUAAGUGGGAAACGAUGUGGGAAGGCACAGACAGCCAGGAUGUUGGCUUAGAAGCAGCCAUCAUUUAAAGAAAGCGUAAUAGCUCACUGGUCGAGUCGGCCUGCGCGGAAGAUGUAACGGGGCUAAACCAUGCACCGAAGCUGCGGCAGCGACGCUUAGGCGUUGUUGGGUAGGGGAGCGUUCUGUAAGCCGUUGAAGGUGUGCUGUGAGGCAUGCUGGAGGUAUCAGAAGUGCGAAUGCUGACAUAAGUAACGAUAAAGCGGGUGAAAAGCCCGCUCGCCGGAAGACCAAGGGUUCCUGUCCAACGUUAAUCGGGGCAGGGUGAGUCGACCCCUAAGGCGAGGCCGAAAGGCGUAGUCGAUGGGAAACAGGUUAAUAUUCCUGUACUUGGUGUUACUGCGAAGGGGGGACGGAGAAGGCUAUGUCAGCCGGGCGACGGUUGUCCCGGUUUAAGCAUGUAGGCGGAGGUUCCAGGUAAAUCCGGUACCUUAUUAACGCUGAGGUGUGAUGACGAGGCACUACGGUGCUGAAGUGAUAAAUGCCCUGCUUCCAGGAAAAGCCUCUAAGCAUCAGGUAACACGAAAUCGUACCCCAAACCGACACAGGUGGUCAGGUAGAGAAUACCAAGGCGCUUGAGAGAACUCGGGUGAAGGAACUAGGCAAAAUGGUGCCGUAACUUCGGGAGAAGGCACGCUGAUAUGUAGGUGAAGUCCCUGCGGACGGAGCUGAAAUCAGUCGAAGAUACCAGCUGGCUGCAACUGUUUAUUAAAAACACAGCACUGUGCAAACACGAAAGUGGACGUAUACGGUGUGACGCCUGCCCGGUGCCGGAAGGUUAAUUGAUGGGGUUAGCGGCAACGCGAAGCUCUUGAUCGAAGCCCCGGUAAACGGCGGCCGUAACUAUAACGGUCCUAAGGUAGCGAAAUUCCUUGUCGGGUAAGUUCCGACCUGCACGAAUGGCGUAAUGAUGGCCAGGCUGUCUCCACCCGAGACUCAGUGAAAUUGAACUCGCUGUGAAGAUGCAGUGUACCCGCGGCAAGACGGAAAGACCCCGUGAACCUUUACUAUAGCUUGACACUGAACACUGGUCCUUGAUGUGUAGGAUAGGUGGGAGGCUUUGAAGCGUGGACGCCAGUCUGCGUGGAGCCAACCUUGAAAUACCACCCUUUAAUGGCUGGUGUUCUAACGUAGACCCGUAAUCCGGGUUGCGGACAGUGUCUGGUGGGUAGUUUGACUGGGGCGGUCUCCUCCCAAAGAGUAACGGAGGAGCACGAAGGUUGGCUAAUCCUGGUCGGACAUCAGGAGGUUAGUGCAAUGGCAUAAGCCAGCUUGACUGCGAGCGUGACGGCGCGAGCAGGUGCGAAAGCAGGUCAUAGUGAUCCGGUGGUUCUGAAUGGAAGGGCCAUCGCUCAACGGAUAAAAGGUACUCCGGGGAUAACAGGCUGAUACCGCCCAAGAGUUCAUAUCGACGGCGGUGUUUGGCACCUCGAUGUCGGCUCAUCACAUCCUGGGGCUGAAGUAGGUCCCAAGGGUAUGGCUGUUCGCCAUUUAAAGUGGUACGCGAGCUGGGUUUAGAACGUCGUGAGACAGUUCGGUCCCUAUCUGCCGUGGGCGCUGGAGAAUUGAGGGGGGCUGCUCCUAGUACGAGAGGACCGGAGUGGACGCAUCACUGGUGUUCGGGUUGUCAUGCCAAUGGCACUGCCCGGUAGCUAAAUGCGGAAAAGAUAAGUGCUGAAAGCAUCUAAGCACGAAACUUGCCCCGAGAUGAGUUCUCCCUGAGACUUUAAGUCUCCUGAAGGAACGUUGAAGACGACGACGUUGAUAGGUCGGGUGUGUAAGCGCAGCGAUGCGUUGAGCUAACCGAUACUAAUGAACCGUGAGGCUUAACCUU
Molecule: ribosomal RNA, 2553 nt
Filed under: Lelliottia amnigena CHS 78
Lineage: Bacteria; Pseudomonadati; Pseudomonadota; Gammaproteobacteria; Enterobacterales; Enterobacteriaceae
Also listed under: 1 other name
Description: bacterial LSU rRNA
Rfam family: Bacterial large subunit ribosomal RNA
Source: RNAcentral